This 660-nucleotide ribosomal RNA is filed under the name uncultured archaeon. Its description in RNAcentral is "bacterial SSU rRNA". It matches the Rfam family "Archaeal small subunit ribosomal RNA", at positions 5 to 666 of the family's 1478-position model. The record is from RNAcentral.
CGGUUGAUCCUGCCGGCGGUCACUGCUAUCGAGUUCCGACUAAGCCAUGCGAGUCACAGGCCGUAAGGUACUGGCAGACGGCUCAGUAACACGCGGAUAAUCCACCCUUAGGUGGGGUAUAGCCUUGGGAAACUGAGAUUAAUCCCCCAUAGAUCCCGGAAACUGGAAUGUUACGGGUUUGAAAGUUACGACGCCUAAGGACGAGUCUGCGGCCUAUCAGGUAGUAGGUGGGGUAAAGGCCCACAUAGCCUAUGACGGGUACGGGCACUGAGAGGUGUAGCCCGGAGAUGGGUUCUGAGACACGAACCCAGGCCCUACGGGGCGCAGCAGGCGCGAAACCUUCGCAAUGCGCGCAAGCGCGACGAGGGGAACUCGAGUGCCAUUGCCAUUUUUGGUGAUGGCUUUUCUUGACCCUAAAAAGAUCAGGGAAUAAAAGCUGGGUAAGACGGGUGCCAGCCGCCGCGGUAAUACCCGCAGCUCGAGUGGUGGCCACUAUUAUUGAGCCUAAAGCGUCCGUAGCCGGUCUUGUAAAUCUCUGGGUAAAUCCUGCCGCUUAACGGUGGGAAUGCUGGAGAGACUGCAAGACUGGGGAUCGGGUGAAGCGAGAGGUACUCCUGGGGUAGGGGUAAAAUCCUGUAAUCCUGGGGGGACGACCGGUGG